ACUGGUUUUGUAGCCUGGUUUAGUAAGAUAUUCUUGCUUUAUCAUUCUCUGUUUGGUUACAGAUUUGUGACUAUAGGUUUAUGAUGCUACUCCAAUUUGAGCCUAAUCUCAUUGUGCAGUGGCAAUUAUUGUUUACCCAACUGAUAAGAAAGAAAAAAGGCAUUGUUUUUUUCCCUCUUUCUGUAUCUUAGCAAUGUCAGUAAUAUAUCUUUAUUAGCAUUAGAAAAAGGUCCCAGGGUAAAGAUGAAUGUGUUGUGUUCCAGGUGAGACUCCUACAUACUCUGUGCUACUUUCCAUGGGCAUUCCUCAGCUGUCUGCUUUUACCAUCUUUGUGUUUUUUGGCUGUGGUGAUGCAGUAAAAGUGAUUGUGCCAGCUUCAUUCCAGAUGCUCAGAGCUAGUCCUUGAAGCUUUGUUCAGAGUUGCAGAAACCUGUCCUGUCCCACUAUCCAAAGACCAUAGCCAAAGCAAACACCCCCAAGUCAAAGGGGUCUCUUUAAUGACCUGGUGUGAAGGCUCCAUAUUCUACCUGGAAUUGGGAUGACAGAUCAGUGAAGUUCUGCAACAGCCUUUUGAAGGGAAAAGGGCCAAGGCUAUGGAGAUGCUGAGGAAGGAUGGAUGGAGGGAUGAUACAUUAUCAUUUUCAUUUUGGGUUGAUGGCCUGACUGCCUCAGUUGUUGAUUCCAGGGCGCUCUGGAACCUUUAAUGCUGAGAACGAAAUGUGAGCAGUCAAGGUGUGCAUGGUCGAUACAAUAACAACUGUCUCUCCUGCAAAUGAUACCAAGCUUACUUUCCUCUGUCCUGCUCUGUGCCAGACUGAAUGCUCUCUGCUACUAUUGUAGAUGUUUGGAUGCUGUACAGUCCAUAUCCCAAAACAGUGAAUGUCCUUUGCUGGAGGAUACAGAGGUGCCUCUCUUAGCCCUUCCAAAGAAGAGCUACUUAUCUUCCACAGCCAAAGACUGUGUGUUUCUAACAUAGUAGCCUCUGAUUUCAGUCCCCUCAGUGACUUUUUAGCAUCUGGACCGACUCUCCAGCUCCUCCUCCUUCCCAGCCUUUCCUACGCUCUUUUGGGAUGAAGAAGGCAUAGGGCACUUCCAAGCAGCCUAAAGUACAAAGCUAGAAGAUGCCCAAAUACGUCCAUUGGUAAAUCCUGCACAGUGCAGCUUGAUAAUUCUAAUAUAGGGAAAACAAGCAACAGCUUUUCUUCUCUAGGCUGCCAAAGGGACGCUAUUCCUUGUCACACAAGUACCAUCACACCUAGCACUGGUGCAGAUACCUCUCUGCUAGCAUGCUCUGUUGUAGACAUUUCUGAGUAGCAAACUCCUGACUGAAAGGUGUCCUGUGUGGUGCCCAGAGCUGGAUUGUACCACCAGUGCUUGUGGAGCUUGGGGUCUGUAGCUGGCACAUGGGAAUUAGUUAUUUCAGAAAUUUUGUUUAUGAAAUUGAAUGGAGAAGGUACAGCUGCAAAGACUGGUCUGUAUGAACUUAUACCUUGGUGUAUCUUGUGUCUAUAAUUCCUUCACCUGUUUUCACUCUGCUAAUCCUGACCCUAGUCUUGCAUUUCAUAUAAAUGGUCCCUACUUAAAACUUGCCACAUGCAGUCCUGGGCUUAUUGCUCCUCCUUAACUGAAUCAAAUGGCAGAGACUUUGGCAAUGUAUUGGCAAUCUCUUUUCCUUGUGUUGCAUCAGUCUCUUGAGUUUAACCACAAUGACCUGAAAACAUUUGGGUUUUAAGUGUUUUUUUAUUAUUUUAAUUUUGUUUUGUUUAAAUGAAGCUGAACAGUUCCCACUGUAUUCAGAGCUGUGAUGCCCAGUUCCAGUAACAAGUAGUAGAUGGAUUUGUCCCAUUUUGUUUCUUGGUGAUGUUCAGAAAUAUAAUUUGUGUCAUCUUAAGUCCUGUGUCAGUUGUUUUCUUUCUCCCUCCCAUUUUUUUCCUGCCUUUGUAUUAAGCUGGAACAAUUCAGGACUUGUUCCUCCUCAAAGAGGUGAGUAGCUUCAAAGAGGCUUGGUUUGUCCAGGCACCAUUAAGACUGGGAAUUCUUACAAGCACAUGGGGUGGAGAGGGUGAUGCUAGUCCUUCCCUAAACAAAUACAACAGCAGAAUAAACUAGCAGCUGUCCCUGUUCUAGUCUGUUGUGAGGACUUAACACCAAACAAAUGCAAUGUAUGGAAGGAUGUGAGACCUUUGCUUUUUAAUAGCUAUUAACCUCAAAGUGCUGGGAUCUUCAUUCUGUAAGGCAAAUUUGUUGGUGGGAGUAUGACACUGCAUGGACAUCCUACCCCAUCUGGCCAAACAUCUCCCAGCUCCCUUUGACCUGUUGGCAUGCCUGGGUGAGCUCUUAGUUUCCAGGCUGGCUUUGAAGUCUGGUCUUUAUGAGACGUUUUCUUCACCUAUUAAAAGGUGAAGAAAAUGCCCUUUUCUGCCCCUCAACCAGAGUGAUGGUGGGACCCGUGAGGGACAGGAUUAGAAGGAUUCACAGUUCAUAGCUGGAUAUUUUGGGUCCACUCCCUUGGGUGCCACAUUCUACACAGGUUCAGUGCAGCUGCACAUGGGACAUGGUGUGUAAAUAGUCAAGCGCUGGCCGAAGGUUGGAAUGUGAUCAGAUGCAAAUCGGUGCCAAUUAGUGCUUUGAUGAAUAGAUUGCCAGAGUCCUCCACUUUAGCAUGCGGGCGUGCAGGCCUCGGAGCCAGCCUGAGGUGCUGGCCAGACUGUGCUUUCAUGCCUUCUUUGUUCCAGGUGACUCAGAGGGUUUGGUAUCUUUUAGCCGCUCACCUCUGUGGCACUGGGAUGGACCUGAAUCCACUCUCAUGGGUAAAAGGCAGGGUGUGCCCCUGAAACUGCAGUAGCUGACUCGGGCUCUGCCUUAGCUUCACAAUAAUAGUUCCUGCGAGGCUGAGCCAGACUAGCUCUGCUGGUCUGGGAGCUUGCAGGGCAGGAGCAAACCCUGAGCCAUGGAGGUUCUGUGCAUGCCUUCUGUUUGCCCACCCUUGUGCAGUUUCAUUCCCAUCACCCAGAAAUAUGAAGAAAAUGGGAGGAGGCAACUGAGGGAGAGCAGUGUGCAUAAGUCACUGUCAGCUCCCUGUGCUCAGCUGCAAAAUUCAUUCCUAGUGAUGUUCUCUUGCUCCAAACAAGAAGCACUUGGGUACACUGGCCAUGUGCAGGCUGUUGCCACAUGAGUGCUGGCAGUGUGUUUGGAGCAGGCUCAGGGGCCCUUGGGCCUGACCUUGAGAGCCCUCAUCACACUGCAGGGAGAGCUGGCUUUGCUCUGGGAGCACAGCUGGAGAAGGAAGCCUCUGGAGAUGGAGGAAGCACAUGCUGCACUAGGUGACCCUCCCAGGGGGCUGAGAUCCACUGAGCGCAGGUCAUUGCCUCCAUCUCAGCUGCUUUGCAUUUGCAAAUGGCAGGAGAAAGAAGAGCUCUAGCAGGAGUGCAAGGUAUUACAAUUAAAUUGCGCACAUUCACGUUGUUUGGUCAGCCCAACACAGUUCAAGGUGUGAAGUGAAUGUGAUGGGACCGCAGCUGCUGCUGCACCAAUAAGAGGAGCAGUGCAAGCCUCCUGUCCCGUGCCCUAAAAGGGACAUGUUCCCAUUAAGGGCACAGUAUGACUGCCGCAAUAUUUGCUGUUAUGGCAGAAGUCCAGUGUGUUUGGAAACCCCUGUGCUGCAGACUGUAAUUUCUCCAAUUCAGAGACCUGUGAGAGCCUCCUGGAGUGACUUCCCUGCUCUAAGGCCCAGGAUUGUCACUGUACAUCUCUAUUAGAGGCUUCCAGGAGAGACCUGACUAUUGAUUUUGCAGAAUGUGCCGUAUUUGCUGCGAAGGUGAUGCAUGCCUAACCACAGGAGCAAUCCAGCCACGUGGAGGCACUCAUAAAAUCUGUGAGUACCUUAUCUCAGUACAAAACAUCCUGAAUGUGUGAUGAACACCUUCACAUGCUAGGCUUCUGGUCCCUCUAAGGAAAUCUGAGGAAAAUUCAUACUAAGGACAUCUGUGCUGGGAGCAGGCAGGGUUUUUUUAGUGGCUGGGCCAUGGCUUUGCCCUUGCUGAUCACAUAAAGGAUCACGUUAGCUGCAGAUGCAUUCAUUUCUUUCUUUCAGCUUUCCCCAUUACCAGAGGUUGGCUUUGCUCCUCUGUGACACACACUGAGGUGGUGACAAAGGUGACCAAGUUAUUCCUCGAGUUGUCUUGUGAAGAAUCAUGCUCAUCUGCCUCCCAAGCCCUCUUUCCCAUGGGCAGGCAUGUCAGGGAAGGUUGUACAUCCUUCCCCACAGAGGCAGUGAUGUACUACAUCAGGAGGACAGGUAUUUUACUUUGCUUUUCCCUUUCCUAUCUAUCUGGCAGCUCCCAGCAUUGCUCCGUGUGUCUCAGGCCUUCUGCUGUGUUUGUGAAGUGUUGUUGCUCUUUCCCACACAAUACAGACGUUUUUGCAGGAGCAUAAAUUACUUCCAUCCAGUAACUCUUUUAUGAAACACUUUUCCUCUGCACAGUGAAGAAAAAUGUGGCUGAAGCUGGUAAUUAAAUGUUUACUGUUAAGUACUUUAUAUAUUAUAAAGUAUAUGUUAAGUACUUUAUAUAUUAUGUACUAUAGAUCAUUCCGUCCAUUAAACAAACCAUUUAACUCCC
Molecule: long non-coding RNA, 4619 nt
Organism: Pezoporus occidentalis (night parrot)
Lineage: Eukaryota; Metazoa; Chordata; Aves; Psittaciformes; Psittacidae
Exons: 2
Source: RefSeq, a predicted model, not a curated record